This 315-nucleotide ribosomal RNA is filed under the name Triticum aestivum (bread wheat). RNAcentral describes it as "partial small subunit ribosomal RNA". Lineage: Eukaryota; Viridiplantae; Streptophyta; Magnoliopsida; Poales; Poaceae. The record is from RNAcentral.
AUGAGCUAUUCAAGGUCUAUUGGCUUUAUUGCUUAUGUGGUACUUCGACCGCGAAGCCUCGCUUAUGCACCGAGAAAGAUCGUAGAUAGGAAAGAUCUGUUAUGCACCAACGACGGCCCCUUCUCUUUACCUUUAUCGUCUCAUACCUCAGUCCAUUGCUGGCUUGAAUGCUGUCUCUCUUCUUCUUUGCUCGCGAGAGUGAAUAAGAGGACGACCCACCGGGGGGAGGAUGGAAUGAGUCGGCAAGGGGAUCAACCAUCUUCUUUCAGUAAAGGCCCACACAUUAUCCUUAAUAUUGGGAUAAAAGGACUCUGA